RNAcentral lists this ribosomal RNA (460 nucleotides) under uncultured bacterium. RNAcentral's name for it is "partial 16S ribosomal RNA". It matches the Rfam family "Bacterial small subunit ribosomal RNA", at positions 338 to 795 of the family's 1533-position model. The record is from RNAcentral.
CCUACGGGAGGCAGCAGUGAGGAAUAUUGGUCAAUGGACGCAAGUCUGAACCAGCCAUGCCGCGUGCAGGAAGACGGCUCUAUGAGUUGUAAACUGCUUUUGUACGAGGGUAAACGCAGAUACGCGUAUCUGUCUGCACGUAUCGUUCGAAUAAGGAUCGGCUAACUCCGUGCCAGCAGCCGCGGUAAUCCGGAGGAUUCAAGCGUUAUCCGGAUUUAUUGGGUUUAAAGGGUGCGUAGGCGGUCGGAUAAGUUAGAGGUGAAAUCCCGAGGCUCAACUUCGGAAUUGCCUCUGAUACUGUUCGGCUAGAGAGUAGUUGCGGUAGGCGGAAUGUAUGGUGUAGCGGUGAAAUGCUUAGAGAUCAUACAGAACACCGAUUGCGAAGGCAGCUUACCAAGCUACUUCUGACGUUGAGGCACGAAAGCGUGGGGAGCAAACAGGAUUAGAUACCCGUGUAGUC